Molecule: long non-coding RNA, 578 nt
Organism: Planococcus citri (citrus mealybug)
Lineage: Eukaryota; Metazoa; Arthropoda; Insecta; Hemiptera; Pseudococcidae
Exons: 6
Source: RefSeq, a predicted model, not a curated record
UGGACAAAAUCUAUAUUCGUUAACUAACCAAGAAAGCAAAAACUGUAUAAAUCAUAAUAUGGAUUAAUGUAUCCCUAAUUUUGCUAUAAUUUCAGCACUCAUUUCCACAACUCAAUUAGUUGAGGCUGGGUUACCCGCAGCCAACAAAGAUGUAACGAAGGCUACUUUCUGUAUGAGAAAGUUCUUCGGAGAAACUGAAUCAAUGAAAAAUUUCCUAAAAAAUGGACACAUUCUAACAAAUGGAGAAUAUUUAGGAGUUAUUUGCAAAGAAGUUAUGGAUGCCGAGCUUUAUGAAAUGAUCCGCAAAAAUGCUGCGGAAGACUACGACGGUAAAACCAUCAAAGAAUGUCUUGCGAAGUCAAAUGGUAAAAACCUAUUUCAAAAAUUCGUCGCAUUAGGACAAAAAUUUUUGGCUUCGAAGCGUAAACCAAUGAUUGAAACAUCAGAGAGUGACGAAUCUCGUCAGAAGCCCUCAUCAGUACCAAAUUCAGAAUCAUUACUGGAUAUUCCAGCAAUGAAUUUUUACAGGGGAGUGUGUGAUUCUCCAAUAAAAGCUCUCGAUUUCAGUGAACUAAAAA